This 424-nucleotide ribosomal RNA is filed under the name uncultured prokaryote. Its description in RNAcentral is "bacterial SSU rRNA". It matches the Rfam family "Bacterial small subunit ribosomal RNA", at positions 355 to 796 of the family's 1533-position model. The record is from RNAcentral.
UGGGGAAUAUUGGACAAUGGGCGCAAGCCUGAUCCAGCCAUGCCGCGUGAGUGAUGAAGGCCCUAGGGUUGUAAAGCUCUUUCAACGGUGAAGAUGAUGACGGUAGCCGUAGAAGAAGCCCCGGCUAACUCCGUGCCAGCAGCCGCGGUAAUACGGAGGGGGCGAGCGUUGUUCGGAAUUACUGGGCGUAAAGGGCGCGUAGGCGGCCAGUUGCGUUAGAUGUGAAAGCCCCGGGCUCAACCUGGGAGGUGCAUUUAAUACGGGCUGGCUUGAAUACGGCAGGGGAUGGUGGAAUUCCCAGUGUAGAGGUGAAAUUCGUAGAUAUUGGGAAGAACACCGAUGGCGAAGGCAGCCAUCUGGGCCGUUAUUGACGCUGAGGCGCGAAAGCGUGGGGAGCGAACAGGAUUAGAUACCCCCGUAGUCC